AAUUGACGGGGACCCGCACAAGCGGUGGAUGAUGUGGAUUAAUUCGAUGCAACGCGAAGAACCUUACUACCCUUGACAUGUCCGGAACUUGCCAGAGAUGGCUUGGUGCCCGAAAGGGAAUCGGAACACAGGUGCUGCAUGGCUGUCGUCAGCUCGUGUCGUGAGAUGUUGGGUUAAGUCCCGCAACGAGCGCAACCCUUGUCAUUAAUUGCCAUCAUUCAGUUGGGCACUUUAAUGAGACUGCCGGUGACAAACCGGAGGAAGGUGGGGAUGACGUCAAGUCCUCAUGGCCCUUAUGGGUAGGGCUUCACACGUAAUACAAUGGUCGGUACAGAGGGUUGCCAACCCGCGAGGGGGAGCCAAUCCCAGAAAACCGAUCGUAGUCCGGAUUGCAGUCUGCAACUCGACUGCAUGAAGUCGGAAUCGCUAGUAAUCGCGGAUCAGCAUGUCGCGGUGAAUACGUUCCCGGGCCUU
This 474-nucleotide ribosomal RNA is filed under the name uncultured Thiobacillus sp. RNAcentral's name for it is "bacterial SSU rRNA". It matches the Rfam family "Bacterial small subunit ribosomal RNA", at positions 908 to 1382 of the family's 1533-position model. The record is from RNAcentral. Lineage: Bacteria; Pseudomonadati; Pseudomonadota; Betaproteobacteria; Nitrosomonadales; Thiobacillaceae.